This is a long non-coding RNA of Camelus dromedarius (Arabian camel), 2798 nucleotides long. RefSeq lists it as uncharacterized. NCBI's taxonomy places the organism in Eukaryota, Metazoa, Chordata, Mammalia, Artiodactyla, Camelidae. The record is from RefSeq and is a predicted model, not a curated record. The transcript has 3 exons.
AAAAAUGAUUAAUUGACCAUAUAACGUUAUUUCCUUUCCCUCCUAAAUGUGCUAAAAUGACAUAAAAAUAAUAAUGGCAUUAACCUUUAAGGGUAAAGAGAGAGAGCAAGGAUAUAAUAGUAAGAUGACAUAUUUCAGUGGAAAUAUCUUCUCAAAAAUGGAAAGUGGAUAGAGGGUUGGUAACUAAUUUAUCAGAAUAGGAAAAAUUUUUAACUUAAGUUUCUGCAGUGGAGGAUACAUCUAGAAUUGAGCUAAUUCAUUUGAGAGGCUCAAACCUUAGAAGGUAACAGGUACCACAGAAGAUGGGAGUAAAGAAUAGGUCUGAGAACAAGAAGGUGGUCACUGAAACUGUCCACAAAGCAUGUGGCACAACCAGGCAAACUACUAUGCCCCAACAAGAAAAGAAAAUAUCUCUCUGUCCAGCAAUCUUACUUCUGGCUGUAUAUCCAAAGGCAAUGAAAGCAAGAUCUUGAAGAGAUAUCCUCACUGUUCUGUUUGUUGCAGCAUUAUUCACAAUAGGCAAGAUAUGGACACCUAAGUGUCUAUCAAUGGAUGAACGGAUAAAGAAGAUGUGGUAUUAUAUACAAUGGAAUAUCAUUCAGUCAUGAGAAAGAAGGAAAUGCUGCCAUUUGCAACAACAUGGAUGAACCUUGAGGGCAAUAUGCUAAGCAAGAGAAGUCAGAUGGAAAAAGACAAAUACUGUAUAAUCUCACUUAUAUGUGGAAUCUAAAAAAGUGGAACUCAGAAACAGCAUAGAAUGGUGGUUGGGGCUGGGGUCGGGAGGAGUGAGAUGUUGGCCAAAAGGUACAAACUUCCAGUUAGAAGAUGAAGUUCUGGAGAUCUAAUGUACAGCAUGGUGAUUAUAGGUAAUUAUACUGUAUAAUAUACUUGAAAGGUACUAAGAGAGUAGAUCUUAAAUGUUCUUACCACAAAAAAGAAAUGGUAAUUAUGUGACAUGAUGGAGGUGUCAGAGCUAAUGCUAUGGUGGUUAUCAUUUUGUAAGUGUAUCAAAUCAACAUAUCACACACCUUAAACUUAUGCAAUGUUAUAUGUCAAUUAUAUAUCUAUAAAACUGGGGGAAGAAAGAAAGACUUCUUUGGAGGGACUGUAUCUAGGAGGUACUGCACUCCUAGACAGGAUUUACGGUGUGGGCUGGCAUAUAAAGCAGGACCAAACUCCUGUCUUGGUCCCAGUAUGCUAGCAGACAAGCAUAUAACCAGUCCCCAGAGAAGAAAUUAUAGUUUUUCUCUGGAGAAAAUGUAGAGAUUCAGAGGAAAGCUCCUGGUGAAGUCCACAAUGGAUAACUACUCCUCCCUAGGCUUCUAGUCAGUUUUUUAGUUCCUCACUCUUAAAUUAUAAGGGAGAGCCAAAGACCAACAGGUAUUUGACAACAGCUAUCAAUGAAAGAAAAACACAGACUAAAAUAAACUCAUAGGAAAAAAGGGUCCAGAGGGAAAAAAGCUAAUGCAGGAAACAACAGAAUUUCAAAUAAAGUAUAAUACCCCUGAAGAAAAAAGAGAAGAUCUGGAAAAGGAAAACCAGAAGACUAAAAAUGGCCCUUGGAAAUUAAAAAUACAGUAAGCAAAAUAAAAUGGUGUGAUACAAAGGUGUGGGGUCCACCGUAUGUCCACAGCUUCUUUCUUAUUACUCCUCCCCUUGAGUGUGGGUUGGAUUUAGUGAUUCUCUCCUAAUAAACAGAAUAAGGUGGAAGUGACAGUCACUUCUGAGAGUAGGUCAUAAAAAGGCAUUGUGGUUUCCUUCCUCCUUUCUCUCUCUCUCUCUGAUCACUUUGCUCUGAGGAAAGUUAGCUGCCAUGUGAGAACACUCAAGCAGCUGAAGGGGAGGCCUAUCUGGUGAGAAACUGAGGUGUCUUGUCAAUGGCCAGAGAGGAACCUAGGCCUCCAGCCAUCAGAUGACUGCAGCCCCUGCUGACAUCCUCUCUGCAACCACGAGAGAAACCCCAGCCAGAACCCCCAGCCAAACUGCUCCUGGAUUCCUGAUUCACAGAAACUAUAAGUUCUAUAAGUCAGAAGUCUGACAGUCUCUGCUUAUCUCACAAGGCUGAAAUCAAGGUGUCUGGGCUGGGGUCUUAUCUGGAGACUCUAGAGAAGAAUCCAAUCUCAGGUUCAUUCAGUUAUGUCCAUCUUCUUGUUCCGAAUGGAAUUUUGAUAUCCCAGUAGAUAUAAGUUGAAGAAGGCCAUCUGACGUCCUCCCUGUCCUCUUCUGGAAUGAACAGGCUGGAGCACUGGACUCUGUUUGGUAACCAUGGUAAUGUCCUGAAGAACUACUAUGACUGACACUCCCUUUGUCUGAGGAGGCACAGGAUUUAUGGGUCACAGAGGAGCUGGAGUGGGAGUGGGGCUAAAUAACUUCAGAAAAAAAUGGAGGAGCCACAUGCCAGUUACUCUUUUUCUUGCCUCAGUCCUAUUUAUACUCUAAGCUUCAGAAGGCAAUGUGUGCAGAGAACACUGAUCUGGGCCCAAAUCUUAGUUUUGUCAUAUUCUAGGUGUCUGACUUUGAAUUGAUCAUGCUUCAGUUUUUUAAUUAGAAACAAAAGAGGUUAUGAUAUCUAUUGCAUAGAACUAUGAGAAUUAAAUAUUGUAUGCAAUUUUCCUCAGUAUAGUGUCCUGCAUAUAAUGGAACCUUAACAAACAGUAUUUGAAUCUGAAUAUGGUACUUCCAAAGAAUCCUUAAGUUAUUUCAAGCAAUGUGUGCUGAGCAAGUUCAUACUGACUUUUGAGAACUACUUGCUAAAUUUUCAGGAAUUCUGCAAGCUGGUUGUUAAGCCAUUAUUAUUA